RNAcentral lists this ribosomal RNA (421 nucleotides) under uncultured bacterium. RNAcentral describes it as "bacterial SSU rRNA". It matches the Rfam family "Bacterial small subunit ribosomal RNA", at positions 355 to 774 of the family's 1533-position model. The record is from RNAcentral.
UAAGGAAUAUUGGUCAAUGGACGCAAGUCUGAACCAGCCAAGCCGCGUGAAGGAUGAAGGUCCUCUGGAUUGUAAACUUCUUUUAUCUGGGACGAAAACGGGAUUUUUAUCUCAAUUGACGGUACCAGAGGAAUAAGCACCGGCUAACUCCGUGCCAGCAGCCGCGGUAAUACGGAGGGUGCGAGCGUUAUCCGGAUUUACUGGGUUUAAAGGGUGCGUAGGUGGGCUUAUAAGUCAGUGGUGAAAUCUCCGAGCUUAACUUGGAAACUGCCGUUGAUACUAUAGGUCUUGAAUUAUCUGGAGGUAAGCGGAAUAUGUCAUGUAGCGGUGAAAUGCUUAGAUAUGACAUAGAACACCAAUUGCGAAGGCAGCUUACUACAUAUAAAUUGACGCUGAGGCACGAAAGCGUGGGGAUCAAACA